RNAcentral lists this ribosomal RNA (431 nucleotides) under uncultured bacterium. RNAcentral describes it as "partial 16S ribosomal RNA". It matches the Rfam family "Bacterial small subunit ribosomal RNA", at positions 29 to 507 of the family's 1533-position model. The record is from RNAcentral.
AACGAACGCUGGCGGCAGGCUUAACACAUGCAAGUCGAGCGCCCCGCAAGGGGAGCGGCCGACGGGUGAGUAACGCGUGGGCACGUACCUUUUGGUUCGGAACAACUCCGGGAAACUGGAGCUAAUACCGGAUAAGCCCUAACGGGGAAAGAUUUAUCGCCGAAAGAUCGGCCCGCGUCUGAUUAGCUAGUUGGUGAGGUAACGGCUCACCAAGGCGACGAUCAGUAGCUGGUCUGAGAGGAUGAUCAGCCACACUGGGACUGAGACACGGCCCAGACUCCUACGGGAGGCAGCAGUGGGGAAUAUUGGACAAUGGGCGCAAGCCUGAUCCAGCCAUGCCGCGUGAGUGAUGAAGGCCUUAGGGUUGUAAAGCUCUUUUGUCCGGGAAGAUAAUGACUGUACCGGAAGAAUAAGCCCCGGCUAACUUCGUG